ACAGUUUCAGAAACUCAGUUGUAAAUCUAAGUAGUUGAGAAUGUCAGAAUUUACUGUCCCCCAAUCUUACGACCUUAGGCAAGUCAAAUCUGCCAUUUUGUCUCCUUAACUGUAAAAUGACUAGAGUAGAUUAGUGGUUGGGAGCUGCCUUUUACAGAGAACUGAAGAGUAGUUCUUUUUAUUAUUAUUAUUAUUAUUAUUAUUAUUACUAUUAUUUAUAUUGUUAAAAAUCAGAAUUCAACCAAGUGAAUUUGAAGAUCUAAUUGGCUGUAUUAAAUGAUUCAUGAGUGGGAUAGCAUCCCAUUUAGCAAGUAAAGGGGAGCUCCCAAGAGCUACAGAAAGAGAAUUUUUAAAGGUAGGACAAGGGAAAUUAUAAACUUUUAGAAAAGAGGAUUAUUUCCAGGUGAGGUCACCUUCAUUUAGAGACCCAAAAAAGAAUCUUAGUAGGUGAAUUAUCUCAUCUUUCUUUGGGAGUUGGGGAGAGGACCCAUGUGACAAGAUUACAUCAUUGGUGCUGACCAGAACAUUCCUAACUGGUUAAGACUACAUUUCAAGGGGAGGUUAAAAGUACAAUUACAUUAGGUAUUGGUGACUUGGCCUAAGUGAUGCCACUUUGGGCCUGUGGGUUUCUUUUAACAAUAUAUUGAGAAAAGGUCCCAUCAGUUAAAAAAAAAGAAAAAGAAAUUUCAACAUAUUCAUGUUUAAUGGUUAUGCUCACUCAAAACAUUCAACACUAGUUUUAGUUUGGUGUGACAGUACUACAGCUAUGUUUAGAACUACUAUGUAGUAUACUGAAGUAGGGGGAAAUAGUACUGCUUUUUGUCACUCAUGUCUUUAAAGUUCUUUUCAGAAUAAGUGUCAAUCAUUUAUGGUGAUUGUAAAUAAUGGUGCCCUUAACUUCAUGUGUUUCCCUGACAUUUCAUUCUGAUUUUUUUCUUGACGUGGUGAGCAAUUAGUAAGUAGUGUUCACUCACUUUCAAUUACUAAAGACAAAAAAAAAAAUUUACUAAAGACAAGAAUUAUGUACAUUUACUAAUGUUUUCCCCACAAUAAAUAUCAUUUUUUCUACUCCUCAUGGGACUUAGUUAAACAGACAUUUGAUUUAUGUCUUUCUUGCUCUGUAAUUGAAUGAGAUUCAUCAAGGUAACUGUACACUAAAUUCCAUCAUUACAUUGUAAUCCUACAUUUAUUCCCAGGAGUGGGAAUUGAAGUUUGGUAAUCUACCUCCAUAUAUGUCUAUACUCCACAGCUGAAACCUGUUCACUCGUGUUCUACCAUUCCUGUUUGGUAGAAGAACUCUAUGAAUAUGGAGACUCUUCACAAGAGGCCCAGAACAAGAAUUCUAAGUAAAUGAGAAAAUACUGAAGAAAAGAAACAAACACAAUGUUUUAUACUAUCUGGAGAAUACCUACCCGACCCGAUGGAGAUAAAAAGAUGCCAAAGAGGAUUGAUUACAGGGAACCUGGGUAGCUCAGUCAGUUGAGCAGCCCUAACUCUUGAUUUUGAUUGAGGUCAUAGUCUUGGGGUCCUGGGAUCCAGUCUGCGUCAGGCUCCAUGGGAGUCCACUUGAGGAUUCUCUCUCCCUCUGUCUCUCCCCUGUUUGUAUGCGCAGGUGCAUGCACGCUCUCUUUCUCAAAUAAAUAGAUCUUUAAAAAAAACUGAA
This is a long non-coding RNA of Canis lupus familiaris (dog), 1663 nucleotides long. RefSeq lists it as uncharacterized. NCBI's taxonomy places the organism in Eukaryota, Metazoa, Chordata, Mammalia, Carnivora, Canidae. The transcript has 2 exons. The record is from RefSeq and is a predicted model, not a curated record.